This 2022-nucleotide ribosomal RNA is filed under the name human gut metagenome. Its description in RNAcentral is "bacterial LSU rRNA". It matches the Rfam family "Bacterial large subunit ribosomal RNA", at positions 479 to 2585 of the family's 2925-position model. The record is from RNAcentral.
AGUGACCGAUAGCGUAUAGUACUGUGAAGGAAAGGUGAAAAGGACCCCGGGAGGGGAGUGAAAUAGAACCUGAAACCCUGUGCUUACAAGCACCGAGAGCCCGUCAACGGGUGAUCGGGUACUUUUUGUAGAACGGUCCGGCGAGUAUAUGGAACAAGCAAGGUUAAGGUCUUCAGGACCGCAGCCGAAGGGAAACCAAGUCUUAAUAGGGCGCACAGUUUGUUUCAUAUGACCCGAAACCGGGUGACCUAUCCAUGUCCAGGUUGAAGUGACGGUAAAACGUCAUGGAGGACCGAACCAACCCCCGUUGAAAAGGUGGUGGAUGAGGUGUGGAUAGCGGAGAAAUUCCAAUCGAACUCGGAUAUAGCUGGUUCUCCCCGAAAUAGCUUUAGGGCUAGCGUUGUGUUAGAUUACCGGAGGUAAAGCACUGAAUAGGCUAGGGGGCGAGAGUCUACCGACCCUUAUCAAACUCUGAAUGCCGGAUAAUCGAUGCACAGCAGUCAGACAGUGUGAGAUAAGUUUCAUUGUCAAAAGGGAAACAGCCCAGACCCACAGCUAAGGUCCCAAAUGUACGUUAAGUGGAAAAGGAUGUCCAGUUGCACAAACAACCAGGAUGUUGGCUUAGAAGCAGCCAUACAUUCAAAGAGUGCGUAACAGCUCACUGGUCGAGUGACCGGGCGCCGAAAAUGUAACGGGGCUAAACGUACAACCGAAGCUUGGGCUGCACAGCAAUGUGCGGGGUAGGGGAGCGUUGUGUGCGGGGUGAAGCAUGAGCGGAAGCGCGUGUGGACUGCACAGAAGUGAGAAUGCCGGAAUGAGUAGCGCGAAUUAUGUGAGAAUCAUAAUGGCCGAAAGCCUAAGGUUUCUGGAGGAAGGUUCGUCCGCUCCAGGUUAGCCGGGAGCUAAGGUGAGGCCGAAAGGCGUAGCCGAUGCACAUACGGUGGAGAUUCCGUAGCCAUCAAAGGAUUUAAGCAGAGGGACACAGUAGAAGGGUAUAUGCCGGGCGUUGGUAGCCCCGGUCGAAAGGGACCGAAAUCAGAGUAGGGAAGAUACACUUGGAUACUGGCGAGAAAAGCUCUGUGGAUAUUCGAGAUGCCCGUACCGCAAACCGACACAGGUAGGUAGGAAGAGGAUUCUAAGGCCAACGGGAGAAGGGUUGUUAAGGAACUCGGCAAGUUGACCCCGUAACUUCGGGAGAAGGGGUGCUCUGGAAACAGAGCCGCAGAGAAUAGGUCCAGGCAACUGUUUAGCAAAAACACAGCUCUCUGCUAAAUCGAAAGAUGACGUAUAGGGGGUGACGCCUGCCCGGUGCUGGAAGGUUAAGAGGAGGAGUGAGAGCCCCGAAUCGAAGCCCCAGUAAACGGCGGCCGUAACUAUAACGGUCCUAAGGUAGCGAAAUUCCUUGUCAGGUAAGUUCUGACCCGCACGAAAGGCGUAAUGAUUUGGGCACUGUCUCAACAGCCCGCCCGGCGAAAUUGUAGUACCGGUGAAGAUGCCGGUUACCCGCGACAAGACGGAAAGACCCCAUGGAGCUUUACUGCAGCCUAAUAUUGGAUUUCGGUAUUUCAUGUACAGGAUAGGUGGGAGACGUGGAAACACAGGCGUCAGCUUGUGCGGAGUCAUCCUUGGGAUACCACCCUUGAAGUGCUGGAAUUCUAACCUGUGGCCAUGAAUCUGGUCAGGGGACAUUGUUAGGCGGGCAGUUUGACUGGGGCGGUCGCCUCCAAAAGAGUAACGGAGGCGCUCAAAGGUUUGCUCAGCAUGGCCGGAAACCAUGCCCUAGAGUGUAAACGCAAAAGCAAGCCUAACUGCGAGACCGACGGGUCGAGCAGUAACGAAAGUUGGAGUUAGUGAUCCGGUGGUAUGUGAGUGGAAAUGCCAUCGCUCAACGGAUAAAAGCUACCCUGGGGAUAACAGGCUGAUCUCCCCCAAGAGUCCACAUCGUCGGGGAGGUUUGGCACCUCGAUGUCGGCUCAUCGCAUCCUGGGGCUGUAUUCGGUCCCAAGGGUUUGGCUGUUCGCC